This is a long non-coding RNA of Hyalella azteca, 2002 nucleotides long. RefSeq lists it as uncharacterized. NCBI's taxonomy places the organism in Eukaryota, Metazoa, Arthropoda, Malacostraca, Amphipoda, Hyalellidae. The record is from RefSeq and is a predicted model, not a curated record. The transcript is spliced from 3 exons.
CCGGAGAUCACGUAGCGCAACGCUUUGCUAAGGUGGAGGGGAGUUACACGGAGGCCCUGUGCUUCCUUAACUCCACCACAGUAACAGCCACCGGGUCCAGGCUGGGCCUUCGCAUGGCCUGCGGCCUUGUGUGUCUGCGGACUACCAACUGACGCUUCUUCUGCAUUCUUAAGAGUCUAGGUACAUGCGCUCUGUUCUAUGCGUUUGUUGCUGUGCGAUGGCCUGGUCAUCAGGUUUCGACAACGGGAACACAGUACGACGCUUGCUACACAUCGUGGGGGGACCCCCGGGACAUAGUGAGGACAAACUCUUCCUUCACUUACUCUUUGAUUUGGUCACUUGCCACUAACGGUCCGAAGUAUGCCUUAGAAGGAUUCGCCUGCUCCUCUUACCCAGCUUUCGUUGUAGAACGAGGAUCCAACAGCUUCACGCAGAUUGACCUGGAAGAGACCACUCGAGUGCAAGCGGUGAUCAUAGCUACAGCAUUUGAUGGUUGGCUUGAGAACAUGGACGUGAUCCUCAGCAACACGAGUGACUUCAGCCUGGGGCAAAAAAUUGGAAGACUUGACGGAUUUCCACCGGAAUGGUCGACGGUCACCCUCGUCACCAACACCAGCGCGGAGGGACGGUACCUCACGACAUUUCAGACAUCAUCUGGUCACCAGGGCUACGCUGCCAUACAAGUCAUUCCGCUGCCAUAAACCUCUUCUUCACUUCUUCAUUUUUAUCUGUUCUUGAAUGCAGGUCUUUGAGUAACAGAGAAUAUUUCUUACUGAAAAUUUUCUUACUGAUUUUCUUCCAUCGGCAAAUUAGGCCUUUGAUAGGAAUUGAAAAUUCAAAUGUCAGGCUUCAAAUGGACAUUUUAUUAUAAUUUAAGACAUUUCAAAUGCAACUAAAUUCAUUGUCAAGUAUGGGAAGAGUUUGAAUAAUUUGAAUUUGAAAUUUAGAAAUGACGUAGGUACAAACAUAGGUUUAUGUAUAUCAAUUGAAAAUCAAAGCUAGAAUUACAAGAACAGUUUCAACGUCCUGACAAGUCCGGUAGUUUGUAAAUUAAUAGAUGGAGACUCGUGCUUGAUGAAGUGAGCCUCAGCUAUGGCCAGUCUUGUGGUGUCUGAGCAUCUCAUUAAUAUGCUGGUGUAGGUCUGCAACGUCCCUAGAGUCAGGGCCUCACUAUUAGCUUCUCUCAUGUGGUUCCUUAGCCCUCUGGUCUGGAGGUGGCACGCUAGGCGGUGGCUUAAAGUCGUGCUGGUAAAGCAGAUGUAAUUUACAUCUGGAGAGGUCCUCAACCUUCUUCAUGGCAUUAAUAUGUGUAAAUUACAUUGAUUUCUUACACUGGCCACGACUUUUUUCACGGAUUAUUUUUCAUUAUCAAAUUUUCGAGUUUCUUGCUUUUAUGGUAAAUCAGGAGAUUGAUUCGGUCGGUUGCGGUUGUGCUGCUGAUGUUUUUCAGCACAAUUGAUUUGAAAACUUUUUUGUCUGUCAUAUAGCAUCCAGUCGUUUGGUUUGGGUAAUAAAUUGUCAUAAUAUUCCUGUUGGAUUAAUCUGUUCAUCAACUGUCCAGGUGACUACCUAUUUCAUAUUUUCUAUUUAAUAUGUCUUAUUGACUAGAAUGUGUCACGUCAAAUUUCCCCGGAAGUGUACCACGUCCUAUUUCCUAGAAUGUGUGUACCACGACAUAUUUCCUAGAGUAUGUGUACCACGUCAUAUUUCCUAACGUGUGUAUACCACGUCAUAUUUCCUAGAGUGUGUGUACCACGACAUAUAUCCUAGACUAGCGUGUGUGUACCACGUCAUAUUUCCUAGAGCGUGUAUACCACGUCAUAUUUCCUAGACUAGAGUGUGUGUACCACGUCAUAAUUCCUAGAGUGUGUGUACCACGUCAUAUUUCCUAGAGUGUGUGUACCACGUCAUAUUUCCUGGAGUGUGUGUACCACGUCAUAUAGAGGUGGGGUGCGGGGUGACUGGUGUGGUCAGGCUGCUGGGGUGUCAGGGAGAGGCGAGG